ACAACAUUCGGACCGUCGGUCUACCGAGCAAUAUCACCCGCUCGGUGGAAGAUCUUCCCUUUGUUGU
Molecule: non-coding RNA, 67 nt
Organism: Bombyx mori (domestic silkworm)
Lineage: Eukaryota; Metazoa; Arthropoda; Insecta; Lepidoptera; Bombycidae
Source: Rfam